Molecule: ribosomal RNA, 432 nt
Filed under: uncultured bacterium
Lineage: Bacteria
Description: partial 16S ribosomal RNA
Rfam family: Bacterial small subunit ribosomal RNA
Source: RNAcentral
AACGAACGCUGGCGGCAUGCCUAACACAUGCAAGUCGAACGAGACCUUCGGGUCUAGUGGCGCACGGGUGCGUAACGCGUGGGAACCUGCCCUUAGGUUCGGAAUAACUCCCCGAAAGGGGUGCUAAUACCGGAUAAUGUCUUCGGACCAAAGAUUUAUCGCCUUUGGAUGGGCCCGCGUUGGAUUAGCUAGUUGGUAGGGUAAAAGCCUACCAAGGCGACGAUCCAUAGCUGGUCUGAGAGGAUGAUCAGCCACACUGGGACUGAGACACGGCCCAGACCCCUACGGGGGGCAGCAGGGGGGAAUUUUGGAAAAGGGGCGAAAGCCUGCUCCAGCAAUGCCGGGGGAGUGAUGAAGGCUUUGGGGUUGUAAAGCUCUUUUACCCGGGAUGAAAAUGAAAGGACCGGGAAAAUAAGCCCCGGCCAACCCCGU